This 253-nucleotide ribosomal RNA is filed under the name uncultured bacterium. RNAcentral's name for it is "partial 16S ribosomal RNA". It matches the Rfam family "Bacterial small subunit ribosomal RNA", at positions 524 to 776 of the family's 1533-position model. The record is from RNAcentral.
UACGUAGGGACCAAGCGUUGUUCGGAUUUACUGGGCGUAAAGAGCGCGCAGGCGGUCGUUCAAGUCGAGUGUGAAAGCCCCCGGCUCAACUGGGGAGGGUCAUUCGAUACUGAUCGACUUGAAGGCAGGAGAGGGAAGCGGAAUUCCCGGUGUAGUGGUGAAAUGCGUAGAUAUCGGGAGGAACACCAGUGGCGAAGGCGGCUUCCUGGCCUGUUCUUGACGCUGAGGCGCGAAAGCUAGGGGAGCAAACGGG